UGCCAGCAGCCGCGGUAAUACGGAGGGUGCGAGCGUUAAUCGGAAUUACUGGGCGUAAAGCGCACGUAGGCGGUUAAGUAAGUGAGAGGUGAAAUCCCCGAGCUCAACUUGGGAACUGCUUUUCAAACUACAUAACUAGAAUGUGUCAGAGGUGAGUGGAAUUUCCUGUGUAGCAGUGAAAUGCGUAGAUACAGGAAGGAACAUCAGUGGCGAAGGCGAAUCACUGGGAUAACAUUGACGCUAAGGUGCGAAAGCGUGGGUAGCGAACAGGAUUAGAUA
This 279-nucleotide ribosomal RNA is filed under the name uncultured bacterium. RNAcentral's name for it is "partial 16S ribosomal RNA". It matches the Rfam family "Bacterial small subunit ribosomal RNA", at positions 506 to 784 of the family's 1533-position model. The record is from RNAcentral.